UACGGGAGGCAGCAGGGGGAAUAUUGCACAAUGGGCGCAAGCCUGAUGCAGCCAUGCCGCGUGUAUGAAAAAGGCCUUCGGGUUGUAAAGUACUUUCAGUCGUGAGGAAGGUGUUAAGGUUAAUAACCUUAGCAAUUGACGUUAGCGACAGAAGAAGCACCGGCUAACUCCGUGCCAGCAGCCGCGGUAAUACGGAGGGUGCGAGCGUUAAUCGGAAUUACUGGGCGUAAAGGGCACGCAGGCGGUUAAUUAAGUUGGAUGUGAAAUCCCCGGGCUUAACCUGGGAAUGGCAUUCAAGACUGGUUAGCUAGAGUCUUGUAGAGGGGGUAGAAUUCCAUGUGUAGCGGUGAAAUGCGUAGAGAUGUGGAGGAAUACCGGUGGCGAAGGCGGCCCCUGGACAAAGACUGACGCUCAUGUGCGAAAGCUGGGGAGCAAACAGGGAUUAGAUACC
RNAcentral lists this ribosomal RNA (451 nucleotides) under uncultured bacterium. RNAcentral's name for it is "bacterial SSU rRNA". It matches the Rfam family "Bacterial small subunit ribosomal RNA", at positions 340 to 786 of the family's 1533-position model. The record is from RNAcentral.